CGGGUUUCGUUAACAGCGGGCUGUCAUUUCGAAAUCAACAAGUUCGUUGUCGACGAAACCUGCA
Molecule: microRNA precursor, 64 nt
Filed under: Drosophila ananassae
Lineage: Eukaryota; Metazoa; Arthropoda; Insecta; Diptera; Drosophilidae
Description: Dan-Mir-76_pre stem-loop
Rfam family: mir-981 microRNA precursor family
Source: RNAcentral